Molecule: long non-coding RNA, 1348 nt
Organism: Cyprinus carpio carpio
Lineage: Eukaryota; Metazoa; Chordata; Actinopteri; Cypriniformes; Cyprinidae
Source: Ensembl
AUACACUCAAAAAAAUGAAAUGUAGCUGGUGUUGGUCCAAAGAAUAUAACUAUGUAUAAAAUAAAUAAUACAGUUAAGUUUGCGUGUUGAAAUUAAAAAAGUUGUGUUGACAAAAUUAGAAAAAGUAAUAUUUCCAAUUUACACAGCUUACUUAAGUGAAAUGAAUGAAACCGAGUUGUGUUACUUCUGCAGUACCGCACUUUGGUCAGCAGGUGGAGUAAUAUCUGCACAUGCGCAGAUGGGAAGCACAUUCAAAAAUCACGCUUCAGCUCUCUUUUAGAUCAGCGCCAUUUUUAGAAGCAAAACAGAAUAAUUUCAAGGUGCGAUGAAAGCAAGAUAAGCUUUUCUUCAUGUGGACACACAGAGUUUUGGAGUUCUGCCUUUAGAGUCCCAUAUGUGGCUGUGCAGAGACUGUGUGGAUCUUCUCACACAUCCAUAUCAAAGCUUUUAAAACACUUCAGAAUUACAACAAUCCCUUUGGUGUCCAAUGGGCCAGCUUGAUAAUUUCUCAACCCAGCUCCUCAAAAUUGUCAAAAAAAGGAGGAGCAGCGUCACAGAAGAUCACAAACAUCCUGUCAGUUAUGGAUCAGCAUGCCACUAUUGGGAAAAAAGGGAAUGCAUCCUGAAAUCCCUGGCAGAUCUUCUUAAUGAAGAGCCCUCAAACCUCGUGAAGGAGUAUAUGGAUGUUGAACAUGAAGAUGCCCUAACCUAAAUGUGCAACACCACCCUUGGAAUCCAUGUAAUUGUACAUAAAGGGGCAGAUGCUACAGACCCUUAUGAAGACAUUGGGAUCAUUACUGAAGGCAUCCGUAUACUUCAAAAUCUAAAUAAUGUGCCAAAUGCGUGCUCUGUGCUGCUUGGUGUAAUUUACGCAUUGAACUUGUUUUCUCCAUAGUGUUGCACUGUUGGCUACUGCAGUACAUUUGUUUCAUUAUUGCCCAUGUCAUAUUCCUUUUAAAUUGGUCUUGCUUUAAAUAACAGAUGCAUUUUUUUCAGUUUCAAGGAGGCACAUAUUACAAAUGAAGACUGACAUUUUUUUCCCUAAGUGUAAUACUUGCAUGUGAGUAUUUUGUAAAUCCUUUUGAAGGCAGCAUACUUUUUAUUUUUACUUCUUUUCUUGUAUUAAGUGAAGAACUUUGAUUUUAAAAAAGAAGCAUUUGUACAAAUUCUUGUUGGAGAAAUUUGUAAAAUUUGUAAUGUUUUGAAUGGACAUUGAAUAAACUCAAUGAAACUUGAUUGUUUUUAUUGAAGGUGACUAUAUUAAUUUUAGAAUAAUUGAACUUAAUUAACUUUACAGAUUAAAAUAAAAUAAAGAAUGUUAAGUUCAUUCAACUAAACAACAUUGCAU